Molecule: ribosomal RNA, 301 nt
Filed under: uncultured bacterium
Lineage: Bacteria
Description: partial 16S ribosomal RNA
Rfam family: Bacterial small subunit ribosomal RNA
Source: RNAcentral
CAGUCGCCGCGGUAAAACGAGGGGGGCAAGCGUUGUUCGGAAUUAUUGGGCGUAAAGGGCGCGUAGGCGGUUUGACAAGUCUGAUGUGAAAUCUCUGGGCUCAACCCAGAGUCUGCAUCGGAAACUGUCGAGCUUGAGUAUGGGAGAGGUGAGUGGAAUUUCCGGUGUAGCGGUGGAAUGCGUAGAUAUCGGAAGGAACACCUGUGGCGAAAGCGGCUCACUGGACCAUUACUGACGCUGAGGCGCGAAAGCUAGGGGAGCAAACAGGAUUAGAUACCCGCGUAGUCCCUGUCUCUUAUAC